This 27-nucleotide small RNA is filed under the name Bombyx mori (domestic silkworm). Its description in RNAcentral is "ovarian small RNA-5386". The record is from RNAcentral. Lineage: Eukaryota; Metazoa; Arthropoda; Insecta; Lepidoptera; Bombycidae.
GCGUGAAAUUGAUAUUUUUGGCCUUAA